This 743-nucleotide ribosomal RNA is filed under the name Leucocoprinus gongylophorus. RNAcentral describes it as "eukaryotic LSU rRNA". The stretch from base 335 to 488 matches the Rfam family "5.8S ribosomal RNA". Lineage: Eukaryota; Fungi; Basidiomycota; Agaricomycetes; Agaricales; Agaricaceae. The record is from RNAcentral.
ACAAGGUUUCCGUAGGUGAACCUGCGGAAGGAUCAUUAUUGAAUAACCUUAGCUUGAUGGGUUGUCGCUGGCCUCUCGAGGCAUGUGCACGCCCGUCUUGACUCUAUUCAUCCACCUGUGCACUUCUUGUAGUCCUCUACACUCUGAGGGUCAGAAAAAGCGGGCUUUUGYUCAGUUGAGAUACACUGGAUUUGAGGAUUGCUUCCGGCUUUCCUUUUUUGGCCCCGUGAAAUCAAGCCUUCUCGAGAAAGGGGGACUAUGUCUUUAUUCAUAAACCAUGUAGCAUGUUGCCAGAAUGUAUUCAAUGGGCUUUUGUGCCUAUAAAACUUUAUACAACUUUCAGCAACGGAUUUCUUGGCUCUCGCAUCGAUGAAGAACGCAGCGAAAUGCGAUAAGUAAUGUGAAUUGCAGAAUUCAGUGAAUCAUCGAAUCUUUGAACGCACCUUGCGCUCCUUGGUAUUCCGAGGAGCAUGCCUGUUUGAGUGUCAGUAAAUUCUCAACCCCUCCAGUUUUUUUUGUUACUGGUUGGGGCUUGGAUGUGGAGGUGUUGCGGGCCUUUUUAUCUAGGUCGGCUCCUCUGAAAUGUAUUAGCGGAACUGUUUGCGAUCUGUUACAGGUGUGAUAAUUAUCUACGCCAAUAGGUUGCUCUCUGUUGUAUUCUGCUGCUAACCGUCCACAAAGGACAACCAGUUACUGAAUAUUUGACCUCAAAUCAGGUAGGACUACCCGCUGAACUUAAGCAU